UUAGGCUCAACACAUUCCACCCUUAGCAUAAUCGUGGUUUUAGCCUUUGUAUUAGUCCGUUUUCACGCUGCUGAUAAAGACAUACCCAAGACUGGGCAAUUUACAAAAGAAAGAGGUUUAUUGGACUUUUAGUUCCACGUGGCUGGGGAGGCCUCACAAUUAUGGUGGAAAGUGAAAAGUACGUCUCACAUGGUGGCAAACAAGAGAGCUUUUGCAGGCACACUCCCUUUUUUAAAACCAUCGGAUCUCGUGAGACUUAUUCACAAUAAUGAGAACAGCACAGGAGAGACGUGCCCCCAUGAUUCAAUUACUUCCUGCCGGGUCCCUCCCACAACAUGUGGGAAUUCAAGAGGAGAUCUGGGUGGGGACACAGCCAAACCGCAUCAGCCUUCUUUUGGAAAACUGACUUUGUCUGCCCACCACAGCCACUCUGCUUCCAAUCAUAGCACCUCUUUCCCUGGGCAUACAGGGAAUCCUUGCCCUUCUCAUACUGUGUCACUUUUGUAAGGCUGAUGCUUACCACACUUCUUACACAAGGUUCUUUGGGUUUUAGGCACAUUGACCAUCUCCGCAGCAGAGCUGCCCUGUCUAUACGAUGAAAACAGGAAACUGCAUCUGCAACCCUCACCUCGUGUCACUCACACAUAACUGGAUUUUUCUAUUUUUUCAAAAAUCAUUGGGAUGUUGACAGGGGUUGCACUGAAUCUGUAGAAUACUUUGGUAGUACUGACAUCUCACCUAAAUUAAGUCUUCCAAUCCAUGAACAUGAGAAAUCUUUCCAGUUGUUUAUAUAUUCUUUAAUUUCUUUCAGUAAUAUUUUGUAGUUUUCAGUUUACAAAUCUUCUCUUUGGUUAAGACAACUCCUAAGUAUUUUACUCUUUUUGAUGCUAUUGUAAAUGGAAUUACUGGCCAGGUGCGGUGGCUCACACCUGUAAUCCCAGCACUUUGGGAGGCCGAGGCAGGUGGAUCACGAGGUCAGGAGUUCAAGACCAAACUGGCCAACAUGGUGAAACUCUGUCGCUACUAAAAAUACAAAAAUUAGCUCGGCAUAGUGGCAUGAGCCGAUAAUCCCAGCUACUCGAGAGGCUGAGGCAGGAGAAUCGCUCAAACCCAGGAGGCAGAGGUUGCAGUGAGCCGAGAUCGUGCCACUGCACUCCAGCCUGGGCGAUAGAGCGAGACUCUGUCUCAAAAAAUUCCAGAUCAGAACUCUAGGAGAAAAUGAAUUUCCCACCACCUGUCUAUCAAUCAAAUACUUACUGAAUGACUAUCAUAUUGCCAACACUAUGCUAGGCACUAAAGAUACAAAGAUCAAAAUACUGAAUCCCUACCUUCAAAGAGCUCAUCAUCUAAGGUGGUAACAUGCAACACAUGGGGCAUUAGGGAAUAUGUACUGUGCUCCAGGUCAGGGUUAAGGUAGUAAGGAAGACAUCAGGAAAGGAAGCAGUAACCACUGAGUUGAAUCUUAAAGGAUGAAUAGGAGGUAGAGGUUAUAAUGUGUUGGGCACUGUGCUAAGUGUUCAAGCUACAAAGAUUAAUCAGAGGAAGUCUCUGCACAUAGUUCUGUAAGGGAAAAAGCCACAUAAAAAAACAUUUUCAAAACAAUGAGAUUAAAAGUUUUAAGACAGACAUGUUAUAAAAAUAGAGGAGAACAAGCUCAGUAGGGAAGGGGAAUAGAGCAAAGGAAAAGCUACACAAAGAAACUCAUGUCUGAACUGAAUCAUGAAGGAUAAGCAGAUAUUCAAUAGGUGGGCAACGCAGGGAGGAGGGCAUUCUAGGCAGGGAGAAUAGUAUGAGCAUUGGAACAAAGGUACCAAGUGUGACUUGAGAGAGCCCAAUGUGAUUAGGAACUUGCAUGUGGCUUAGUUUCACUGAAAUGUAGGCUAUGAAACAAAAAAGAGGUUAGAAGGGAAAUAAAGUAAG
RNAcentral lists this long non-coding RNA (1920 nucleotides) under Homo sapiens (human). Its description in RNAcentral is "non-protein coding lnc-SCAF11-4:1". Lineage: Eukaryota; Metazoa; Chordata; Mammalia; Primates; Hominidae. The record is from RNAcentral.